This is a long non-coding RNA of Phragmites australis (common reed), 320 nucleotides long. RefSeq lists it as uncharacterized. The record is from RefSeq and is a predicted model, not a curated record. NCBI's taxonomy places the organism in Eukaryota, Viridiplantae, Streptophyta, Magnoliopsida, Poales, Poaceae. The transcript has 3 exons.
GCCAUGCACUCGGCCGCCAACGCCAUCACCUUCUCCGCCGCCGCCACCGCCGCGCUGCUCCUCCGCAUCCGAGGGUCCAUCGCCACCACCGCGUCGCCCUCCCUGCACUUCCGCAGCGCCUGCGCCAACACGAUGCAGGUCUUGUAACAUAAUAACAUCAGCAUGAUGAGUGAAUCAAGAAAAGAAGAUCGACGAGGAGCAAAACAGUUUGCGCAUGACCCUGCAAUCGCACGAGCUCCUUCGCAGAAUGAUCUUGAGCUCCUGACUUGCUUGUUGACCACACGGGAACGAGGUGUGUAGGUGGAAGUCAUAGAAAACCC